GAUGAACGCUGGCGGCGUGCCUAACACAUGCAAGUCGAACGAGAUGCGUAUUGGAAAGCUUCGGCCGGAAGAUGCGUUAUCUAGUGGCGGACGGGUGAGUAACACGUGGGUAACCUGCCUUAUGGAGGGGGAUAACAGAGAGAAAUCACUGCUAAUACCGCAUAAGCUCACAUUGCCGCAUGGCAGAGUGUGAAAAGAUUUAUCGCCAUAAGAUGGACCCGCGUCUGAUUAGCCAGUUGGCAGGGUAAAAGCCUACCAAAGCAACGAUCAGUAGCCGAUCUGAGAGGAUGACCGGCCACAUUGGGACUGAGACACGGCCCAAACUCCUACGGGAGGCAGCAGUGGGGAAUAUUGCACAAUGGGGGAAACCCUGAUGCAGCGACGCCGCGUGAGUGAAGAAGUAUUUCGGUAUGUAAAGCUCUAUCAGCAGGGAAGAUAAUGACAGUACCUGACUAAAAGCCCGGCUA
RNAcentral lists this ribosomal RNA (467 nucleotides) under Oribacterium sp. oral taxon 108. Its description in RNAcentral is "bacterial SSU rRNA". It matches the Rfam family "Bacterial small subunit ribosomal RNA", at positions 28 to 499 of the family's 1533-position model. The record is from RNAcentral. Lineage: Bacteria; Bacillati; Bacillota; Clostridia; Lachnospirales; Lachnospiraceae.